ACACUCCUACGGGAGGCAGCAGUAGGGAAUCUUCCACAAUGGGUGCAAACCUGAUGGAGCAAUGCCGCGUGAGUGAAGAAGGUCUUCGGAUCGUAAAGCUCUGUUGUUAGAGAAGAACACGUGCUAGGUAACUACUAGCGCCUUGACGGUAUCUAACCAGAAAGUCACGGCUAACUACGUGCCAGCAGCCGCGGUAAUACGUAGGUGACAAGCGUUGUCCGGAUUUAUUGGGCGUAAAGGGAGCGCAGGCGGUCUGUUUAGUCUAAUGUGAAAGCCCACGGCUUAACCGUGGAACGGCAUUGGAAACUGACAGACUUGAAUGUAGAAGAGGAAAAUGGAAUUCCAAGUGUAGCGGUGGAAUGCGUAGAUAUUUGGAGGAACACCAGUGGCGAAGGCGAUUUUCUGGUCUAACAUUGACGCUGAGGCUCGAAAGCGUGGGGAGCGAACAGGAUUAGAAACCCGUGUAGUCCCAUGA
Molecule: ribosomal RNA, 475 nt
Filed under: uncultured organism
Description: partial 16S ribosomal RNA
Rfam family: Bacterial small subunit ribosomal RNA
Source: RNAcentral